This 2281-nucleotide long non-coding RNA is filed under the name Macaca mulatta (Rhesus monkey). Its description in RNAcentral is "lncRNA (ENSMMUG00000060934.1)". Lineage: Eukaryota; Metazoa; Chordata; Mammalia; Primates; Cercopithecidae. The record is from RNAcentral.
GGGUGGAUGGAUCACUUGAGGCCAGGAGUUCAAGACCAACCUGGCCAACAUAGCAAAACCCCAUCUCUACUAAAAAUAAAAAAAUUAGCCCACUGUGGUGGUGCACACCUGCAGUCCCAGCUACUUGGGAGGCUGAGGCGGAAGGAUUGUUUGAACCCGGGAGGUGGAGGUUGCAGUGAGCCUAGAUCAGGCCACUGCACUCCAGCCUGGGUGACAGAGCGAGACUCUGUCUCAAAACAACAACAACAACAACAACAAAAACUAUUGUCAUCGCGCUGGUAGUGUCUGAUAGAUUAACAAAGAUGAGUUUAUUUCAUUCAGCAAUGAACUGUGUGUUCCCCAUGAAAUAACAAAGACAAUUGUAUUUUCCCAAUAAGUGAAUGGGAGCAUAAAAAGUAAUAUGCUGUUUAAAGUAAAAUAUUGAACAAAUUAAAAAUUAUCAAAUGCCAAGAAACUCCAGGCUUUCACCCAGUUGAAACUAAUACACCCUAAAAAGAAAAAGAGACUAGAUUUCAUGGGAGAAACAACAUUUUUAGGACACGGGAGUGGAACAUGGAUUGCGUCCCAACAGUGUUUCCACGCUGGAGUCUGCAGAAGAGUUGAUGCUCGCUGUGGUGCUAUGGAAAACAGUAUGUUGGCUCUGAAAAGGUCGAGAAGGCUCCUGUAACCCAAAGGUAAACACUUCGCUGCAGGAUUGCUGUAAGCCUUCAGCGUGCUAAUGAGCAUAGUCAAGCUGAGGGAGGUAAACGGAAUAUACCGUUUCCAGAUUUGUUUGACUGCAAGGAUCCUUUGCAUGUGAGUAGUAGUGACAGCGGGGAAGCCAUCUGUUGAUGGAUCCCAGAAGACCGUUCAACAGAACCGAGUUUAGGAAAUUCUGCAUUGGACUCAUGCCAGUCCCAGAGGGUACAGGACGAUGCAGUCUCUCGGAAUCACUGGGCAUGGUCUUCCCAGAUCUGCUAGAAGAUGACAAGACCUCACCUGGAACAAGAUCUGGCCUGAAGCAAGACCUGCAGUUUCCCAGGAGGGAACAGCCACAGUCAGCCUCGAACAUCCCCACUUCCUGCUGCUCUCACCCGCUCUAUCAGGAAGUGAAUGCGACCUCAGAGCCAUUUGGCCUCAAUUUGAGGUGCCCCUGGCAAUGUGCUGUGCAAACUGCAAUCCGCUUACUCCAAGGAAUAGAAUCACACUGUUGUGUGGAGGCCUCAUCGCUGCUGUUCCCCGACCCGAACUCCCAAUAUUCCAGAGACCCAGGACCUAUGGACUGUGAAAUUAGGAGCCAAAACAGACACACCACUCAGAGCAGAGCCGUGCUGGAGGCUGGAGAAGUGUUGGGAUUUGCAGACAUUUAAAAACUAAACAAUUAAAAUCAUCUGCAAUGGGUGUGUUAUGAAUAAAAUCAUGGAUUCACUGUAAAUUUUUUUCUAAAUACAAAACAGAUUCAGGCACACUGUGUGUUCCUGGUCCAAGCCGACCUUCCAGUUGGUCUCUCCAAGGUCGGCGCCCCCUCCUCCUGCCUGUUUCCACAAAAGCUUUAGCUGUUACGCCCAAAUGCUGGCCACAUCUCCUCACUCACCUGAUGAAACUGAAUAACCAUUUCCUCAGAAGUUAUGUGCAACACACAUUACAACCAGGGGAUUUUACAUGUAGAGCUUCCUUAUUUUAACCUCACACCAUCACAUUAUCAGGGGUAGAGUCAGAAGGAGGCCGACAUUUCCAUUAGAUUGGAACUCACAGGGUCAGGCUCUCAGAGGUGGAAGGGACGUCAGAAGGCUACUUCUCAGAGGGUCCGUUGUACAGAGAGGAAGCCAAGAUCAUGUGGGGGACCCACCCGAGCUGUGGUGAUGGGGUGGUCUGUUACUGGGCCACGAACCCAGAUCUUCAGACUCCAAGACCAGGUCUCGUCUUUGGAGAUUACAUGAACCCUUUCUUCAAUCCACAUGAAAACUAGGUCACAAAACACAGGUUAAGAAACAUUUCUGAUGUGUCCUCUAUUGCUUAGGAUGACUCCAGUUGGAGAAGGCACUCUACUCUGUUUAUGGAAAAUCACCUCCUCAGAAACUUUUUUUUUUUUAGCCAUCAUCAUGUGCUUAUGGAAAAACAUCAUUCAAUAAUAAACACCAGAAUAGACACUCGGGAGCAAACCAGAGUUCUUUGUUUUGUUUUUGGUUUUCAUUUUCUUUUGUUAUAUAAAGAGGAUUUUCAUUCUUGCCACCCUCAUAAACUGUGUUCAAACUUUUCGUCUCUAGCUGCGUGUCUCUGAGCUAAAGACAACUGCUGCCUA